CGCUCUUUGUAAAAAAGUUAAGAUAUAAAGAGUACUGCCUGCCCAGUGACGUAGUUAAACGGCCGCGGUAUUUUGACCGUGCAAAGGUAGCAUAAUCAUUUGCCUCUUAAAUAGAGGCUGGUAUGAAUGGCAAGACGAAGGUUAAGCUGUCUCUUUCUUAAAUCUUGAAUUUAAUAUUUUUGUGAAGAAGCGGAAAUAUAUUCGUAGGACGAGAAGACCCUAUCGAGCUUUAAUUAUAUAUGUUUAUAGUGUUGUUAUUUAAUAAGGCUAAUUUGUAUUAGAUUAAUAAAAAGUUUAGUAUUAUUUUGGAAAAUAAUAAUUAUAAAAUAUAGAGAUUUUGAUUGGGGCAAUCGUGGAGAAAAAAUAUCCUCCAUUAUAAGGUAAUAAAUAACAAUUUAUAUUAUAAAGACCCACUGGUAUAGUGAUUAAAGGAAUAAGUUACCGUAGGGAUAACAGCGUAAUUUUUUUGGAGAGUUCAUAUUGAUAAAAAAGUUUGCGACCUCGAUGUUGGAUCAAGAUUUCCAGGAGAUGCAGUAGUUUCUAUAGGUUGGUCUGUUCGACCAUUAAAAUCUU
RNAcentral lists this ribosomal RNA (573 nucleotides) under Hymenodiscus sp. USNM E47614. Its description in RNAcentral is "partial 16S ribosomal RNA". It matches the Rfam family "Bacterial large subunit ribosomal RNA", at positions 1816 to 2597 of the family's 2925-position model. Lineage: Eukaryota; Metazoa; Echinodermata; Asteroidea; Brisingida; Hymenodiscididae. The record is from RNAcentral.